GCUGGCGGCAGGCCUAACACAUGCAAGUCGAGCGCACUCUUCGGAGUGAGCGGCGGACGGGUUAGUAACGCGUGGGAACAUACCCUUUUCUACGGAAUAGCCUCGGGAAACUGAGAGUAAUACCGUAUACGCCCUUUGGGGGAAAGAUUUAUCGGUGAAGGAUUGGCCCGCGUUUGAUUAGAUAGUUGGUGGGGUAAUGGCCUACCAAGUCUACGAUCAAUAGCUGGUUUGAGAGGAUGAUCAGCAACACUGGGACUGAGACACGGCCCAGACUCCUACGGGAGGCAGCAGUGGGGAAUCUUAGACAAUGGGCGCAAGCCUGAUCUAGCCAUGCCGCGUGAGUGACGAAGGCCUUAGGGUCGUAAAGCUCUUUCGCCAGAGAUGAUAAUGACAGUAUCUGGUAAAGAAACCCCGGCUAACUCCGUGCCAGCAGCCGCGGUAAUACGGAGGGGGUUAGCGUUGUUCGGAAUUACUGGGCGUAAAGCGUACGUAGGCGGAUUAGAAAGUAGGGGGUGAAAUCCCAGGGCUCAACCCUGGAACUGCCUCCUAAACUACUAGUCUAGAGUUCGAGAGAGGUGAGUGGAAUUCCAAGUGUAGAGGUGAAAUUCGUAGAUAUUUGGAGGAACACCAGUGGCGAAGGCGGCUCACUGGCUCGAUACUGACGCUGAGGUACGAAAGUGUGGGGAGCAAACAGGAUUAGAUACCCUGGUAGUC
This 714-nucleotide ribosomal RNA is filed under the name uncultured Sulfitobacter sp. RNAcentral describes it as "bacterial SSU rRNA". It matches the Rfam family "Bacterial small subunit ribosomal RNA", at positions 35 to 795 of the family's 1533-position model. Lineage: Bacteria; Pseudomonadati; Pseudomonadota; Alphaproteobacteria; Rhodobacterales; Roseobacteraceae. The record is from RNAcentral.